RNAcentral lists this long non-coding RNA (736 nucleotides) under Apteryx rowi (Okarito brown kiwi). Its description in RNAcentral is "lncRNA (ENSARWG00000001902.1)". The record is from RNAcentral. Lineage: Eukaryota; Metazoa; Chordata; Aves; Apterygiformes; Apterygidae.
AUUUUAUAACAUGAAAAAAAAGCCCAAAUGUGGGUCACCCCAUAAUGUCUCGCAUCAGCACAUGCAAUAUCAUCUCUUGAAUCAGCGGUUGGGUUUACAAACCGGCUGGGUUUCAGCGCGCGGAUUGGAAAGGCGGCAGCCCCAGCUGCUCCUGGUGCCGCCUGGCCCCUCCGAGCCCGACACGCACCAGAGCAGAACGGAUGGCAUGCAAAAGCUUUCUACCUACAACCACGCCUGCAGGAAGAAAAGGGAACUUCCAAAUUAGAAGCUUUGGCAAACAUUUGCUCACAGACAAAACACAGUUGUUCUGAGACGGGCUGUGGGGCGGGGGACCCGUGGCGGUGCGGGACUUUAUGGCUGGAGACGAGCAGAGGAGUCGCCCAAGCUGCGCCGUGCUCAGAGGCAUCUGCAAGGAAACCUGUUGCUGGCGUCUCUGGCAGAAGCCAGGCUCGCCCUAGCCAGCCUCCAGGGUAUUUUCCAGGCUGCUCCCGCGCUCACAGGGCGUUCGGCGCUCUCGGCACAGCUCGGGCUCGGCCGGCUUGGCUAGGACGUUGCCCGCUUGUCUUUCCACCCUUGGGUUUCGUCCUCUGCUUGCAGCGAAGCCCCACGCGGCAUCCACGACGCCCCGCCGGUGCCGCACGCCCGGCGUCGACGCAUGCCGGCCCCAUUGCGCCGCAGGGCAGGAAAUCGCCGGCAGCGCCGGGAUCCCCUUGACGCAGCGCCGGGGGUGGCUGAC